UUCUUCAACAACUGCAGCCACCUCGGUAGCUCGCUGGACAACAAAGUCGGAACAUUCAAGUUAUUUAGGCAAUUUCGUGGUUUAUUUGCCACUAUGAGUUAAAUAUACUUAUGUGGAAACAACUAGAUACCCCAUUUAAUGUAAUAUUUACGUUGUAAGUCAACUAGCUGGCUGGUUAAGUUAGCACUAGUUUCGUCGCUAAUGCUAAGUAGCUAACAUCCCCGACCAUGAGUUCACUAAGCUACUCUCCUCCUGCUAUAGAAGAGGGGGUCUGCUGGACGGAGAAAGAAACUCUCGUGAAAGAGGAGGAGGAAGAGGAGUCUGUUACAAUACAAAAACAAGUAGAGGGUGAGGCUGUUGCCGUGAAAGAAGAGAAAGACGUUUCAAUGAAAGAAGAGGAAGACUCCUUCAGAGUGAAAGAGGAGGAUGUUACUGUGAAAGAAGAGGAAGAAGAUGCAGUUUUUGGAGUGGAGGAUGAAGAGGGGGAGAUUACUGUCACAUUAGAGGAGGACGAAGAAGAGAAGACUGGAGAACUGAUUAACACCAGUAAAUACAGAGAGAGAUUGGACAAUCGUGGAUCCUCUGGGGAGCCUCAACAACAUCAUGACGCUGACGAGGCAAAGACAAGUCUCUCCGGAUCAGAACUCCCCAAGAAACACCAGCGGAGACGCACAAGGAAGAAAUCUAUCUGCUGCUCUGACUGUGGGAAAAGAUUGAACUCUUCAUCGGACCUUAAAAUACAUCAAAGAAUUCACACAGGAGAGAAACCUUACGGCUGUGAACAAUGUGGGAAGAGUUUUACUCAGCGAUGCAACCUGAUAGUACACCAGCGGGGACAUACAGGAGAGAAACCUUUUAGCUGUGCUCAAUGUGGGAAGAGUUUUACUACAUCUAGUUAUCUAACUAUACACCAGAGAAUACACACAGGAGAGAAACCUUAUAGCUGUGCUCAAUGUGGGAAGAGUUUUACUCAGCAAAGCAGCCUAAUAGUACACCAGCGGACACACACAGGAGAGAAACCUUGUGGCUGUGAUCAAUGUGGGAAGAGAUACUCUGUUAAAAGAUCUCUGAUUAAACAUCAGAAAAUACAUGGAGUUGUUUCAUGAUAUCAAUAAAAUAAUGUCAAAAUGUAGAA
Long non-coding RNA from Oncorhynchus nerka (sockeye salmon), 1135 nucleotides. RefSeq lists it as uncharacterized. The transcript has 2 exons. Lineage: Eukaryota; Metazoa; Chordata; Actinopteri; Salmoniformes; Salmonidae. The record is from RefSeq and is a predicted model, not a curated record.